This 727-nucleotide long non-coding RNA is filed under the name Pan troglodytes (chimpanzee). Its description in RNAcentral is "long non-coding RNA NONPTRT018383". Lineage: Eukaryota; Metazoa; Chordata; Mammalia; Primates; Hominidae. The record is from RNAcentral.
CCCUGAGACAAAGAACCUGGGUUUCUCUCUGUAUGUGCUUUCAUGUCCCAUUACUUGGCUCAAACUUCCAUCUAGCACCUGGCAAAAUAGAACCUGCUGACCAGCGGGGCCUCCUCAAGGAGGCUCCAACUUAACAUUGAGCUCUGUGAGAAAGUGGAAGCAAAAUACCAGUGAGAAGCAAUAGCGGUCUCGUCUGCCCAGGAGCAGAGUGUACAGGUUGGCUUUCACGGUCUCCUGGAGCCCCACUGCACAUGUGCCUGCAGAUCACUGGCAGCUCCCAGAGAGAAGCUGGGGGAAGCUUCUGAUCCCUGGGGCCCACAAGGGUAAUGCUCUCUCUGUCUGGGACGUAGAUCCCAGGCCUCCUGCAUCCAGAGUUUCCAGGAUGGCUUCUGCAUCAACUUCUAAAUAUAAUUCACACUCCUUGGAGAAUGAGUCUAUUAAGAGGACGUCUCGAGAUGGAGUCAAUCGGGAUCUCACUGAGGCUGUUCCUCGACUUCCGGGAGAAACACUAAUCACUGACAAAGAAGUUAUUUACAUAUGUCCUUUCAAUGGCCCCAUUAAGGGAAGAGUUUACAUCACAAAUUAUCGUCUUUAUUUAAGAAGUUUGGAAACGGAUUCUUCUCUAAUACUUGAUGUUCCUCUGGGUGUGAUCUCGAGAAUUGAAAAAAUGGGAGGCGCGACAAGUAGAGGAGAAAAUUCCUAUGGUCUAGAUAUUACUUGUAAAGUA